UUCGGGGUACUCGAGUGGCGAACGGGUGAGUAACACGUGGGUGAUCUGCCCUGCACUUUGGGAUAAGCCUGGGAAACUGGGUCUAAUACCGAAUAGGACCACGGUCUGCAUGGAUUGUGGUGGAAAGCUUUUGCGGUGUGGGAUGGGCCCGCGGCCUAUCAGCUUGUUGGUGAGGUUACGGCUCACCAAGGCGACGACGGGUAGCCGGCCUGAGAGGGUGUCCGGCCACACUGGGACUGAGAUACGGCCCAGACUCCUACGGGAGGCAGCAGUGGGGAAUAUUGCACAAUGGGCGCAAGCCUGAUGCAGCGACGCCGCGUGAGGGAUGACGGCCUUCGGGUUGUAAACCUCUUUCGCCAGGGACGAAGCGCAAGUGACGGUACCUGGAGAAGAAGCACCGGCCAACUACGUGCCAGCAGCCGCGGUAAUACGUAGGGUGCGAGCGUUGUCCGGAAUUACUGGGCGUAAAGAGCUCGUAGGUGGUUUGUCGCGUUGUUCGUGAAAACUCACAGCUUAACUGUGGGCGUGCGGGCGAUACGGGCAGACUGGAGUACUGCAGGGGAGACUGGAAUUCCUGGUGUAGCGGUGGAAUGCGCAGAUAUCAGGAGGAACACCGGUGGCGAAGGCGGGUCUCUGGGCAGUAACUGACGCUGAGGAGCGAAAGCGUGGGGAGCGAACAGGAUUAGAUACCCUGGUAGUCCACGCCGUAAACGGUGGGUACUAGGUGUGGGUUUCC
RNAcentral lists this ribosomal RNA (736 nucleotides) under Mycolicibacterium chlorophenolicum. RNAcentral describes it as "bacterial SSU rRNA". It matches the Rfam family "Bacterial small subunit ribosomal RNA", at positions 81 to 831 of the family's 1533-position model. The record is from RNAcentral. Lineage: Bacteria; Bacillati; Actinomycetota; Actinomycetes; Mycobacteriales; Mycobacteriaceae.